CUACGGGAGGCAGCAGUUAGGAAUAAUCUACAAUGCGCGAAAGCGUGAUAGUUUGAGUCAGAGUGCGCUCCAAUUUGGAGUGCUUUUGCCAAAUCUAAAUAGUUUGGCGAAUAAGGACUGGGUAAGACGAGUGCCAGCCGCCGCGGUAAUACUCGCGGUCCAAGUCGCAGCCAUUUUUAUUGGGUCUAAAACAUCCGUAGCUUGCUUUGUAAGUUCUUUGUGAAAUUCUAUAUCUUAAGUAUGGAGCGUGCAAAGAGUACUGCUUAGCUAGAGACUGGAAGACGUAAGAAGUACGUUCGAAGUAGCGGUUAAAUGUGUUAAUCUCGGACGGACUAACAAGAGCGAAGGCAUCUUACGAGGACAGUUCUGACAGUAAGGGAUGAAGGCUAGGGGCGCAAAACGGAUUAGAUACCCCUGUAGUC
RNAcentral lists this ribosomal RNA (422 nucleotides) under uncultured archaeon. RNAcentral's name for it is "partial 16S ribosomal RNA". It matches the Rfam family "Archaeal small subunit ribosomal RNA", at positions 323 to 746 of the family's 1478-position model. The record is from RNAcentral.